RNAcentral lists this signal recognition particle RNA (282 nucleotides) under Cebus imitator (Panamanian white-faced capuchin). RNAcentral's name for it is "Metazoan signal recognition particle RNA (ENSCCAG00000011062.1)". It matches the Rfam family "Metazoan signal recognition particle RNA". Rfam says of the family: The signal recognition particle (SRP) is a universally conserved ribonucleoprotein. It is involved in the co-translational targeting of proteins to membranes. The eukaryotic SRP consists of a 300-nucleotide 7S RNA and six proteins: SRPs 72, 68, 54, 19, 14, and 9. The record is from RNAcentral. Lineage: Eukaryota; Metazoa; Chordata; Mammalia; Primates; Cebidae.
GCAGGGAGCGGUAGUGCAGGCCUGUAGUUUCGGCUAUUCAGAGGCUGAGGCAGGAGGAUUGCUCAAACCCAGGAGUUCUAGGCUGCAGUGAGCUAUGCCCAUCGGGUGUCCACACUCAGUUCGGGAUCAAUACGGUGACUUCCUGGGAGCAGGGACCACCAGGUUGCCUAAAGAGGGGUGAACUGGCCCAGGUCAGAAAUGGAGCAGGUCAAAAAAUACAACAGCAAGUAAAGACAGGGCUUAGGACUCAGGAGUCCAGGGUCCAAGGUAUGCCCUGUCACU